UGGGGAAUUUUGCGCAAUGGGCGAAAGCCUGACGCAGCAAUACCGCGUGAGUGAAGAAGGCCUUUGGGUCGUAAAGCUCUUUUCUUAGGGAAGAUAGUGACGGUACCUAAGGAAUAAGCACCGGCUAACUCCGUGCCAGCAGCCGCGGUAAUACGGAGGGUGCAAGCGUUGUUCGGAUUUACUGGGCGUAAAGGGCACGUAGGCGGCAUAGCAAGUUAAGGGUGAAAUCCCGGGGCUCAACUCCGGAACUGCUCUUAAAACUGCUAAGCUAGAGAUAGUCAGAGGCGGGUGGAAUUCCAGGUGUAGAGGUGAAAUUCGUAGAUAUCUGGAGGAACACCGGUGGCGAAGGCGGCCCGCUGGGGCUUAUCUGACGCUAAGGUGCGAAAGCGUGGGGAGCGAACG
RNAcentral lists this ribosomal RNA (402 nucleotides) under uncultured bacterium. RNAcentral describes it as "bacterial SSU rRNA". It matches the Rfam family "Bacterial small subunit ribosomal RNA", at positions 355 to 774 of the family's 1533-position model. The record is from RNAcentral.